AGAUGAUGACCUCACACCAACAAGAACAUGCAGACACCCAAAAUUCUGUAUGAUUGAUUCAUUCUAAGUUGAUGCAAGAUUUUAAUCGAAAACUGCCUUAUUUUGCAGAAGAUUAACAAAGAGGAUGCGGUGCAGAAGUGAGUCCCUCAGCAGGAGAAGCUUCUCUCACACCAACCCAUUUAUGGCUGGGGGAAAAUACCCCGUUAGUUCAAGGAUAGCAAAUAAAUAGAUGGUGUGCAGCCUGGUACAGAUGGUAGAACAAGGACUACAUCCUUCACAAAAGGGAUGUGCCAACAAAAACAGCCUGCCCUCAACAGCAAGCUGACCCAACGCCCUGCUCGCUGACUCCUUUAUGCCGGCACCGGCACCGAGUGCCACGCUGCGUUUGCAAGCUAUUGUUCAGCAGGCAGAUUUUCUGCUGGGGGUUAACAGGUGAGAGCAGUGAUCCAAGAGCAAAAUAGAGAGGAUGCUUUUAGUUAAGCUGCCAAUGCUUAGCAAACACUUCUGAAAAUAUCACAGCUCAAUAUUGCAUCAUUCAUGAAUGGAAGAGCUGCAGGGUGGGGGGUGCUUGUUUCAAAAUGAUUUACCAAAGUAAGGAGAGAGUGCAGAAAUGCAGAAAUAAAAUAAUGUGGCUCA
This is a long non-coding RNA of Homo sapiens (human), 636 nucleotides long. RefSeq lists it as uncharacterized. Lineage: Eukaryota; Metazoa; Chordata; Mammalia; Primates; Hominidae. The transcript has 2 exons. The record is from RefSeq and is a predicted model, not a curated record.